UGCAGUCGAGCGGUAGAGAGAAGCUUGCUUCUCUUGAGAGCGGCGGACGGGUGAGUAAUGCCUAGGAAUCUGCCUGGUAGUGGGGGAUAACGUUCGGAAACGGACGCUAAUACCGCAUACGUCCUACGGGAGAAAGCAGGGGACCUUCGGGCCUUGCGCUAUCAGAUGAGCCUAGGUCGGAUUAGCUAGUUGGUGAGGUAAUGGCUCACCAAGGCGACGAUCCGUAACUGGUCUGAGAGGAUGAUCAGUCACACUGGAACUGAGACACGGUCCAGACUCCUACGGGAGGCAGCAGUGGGGAAUAUUGGACAAUGGGCGAAAGCCUGAUCCAGCCAUGCCGCGUGUGUGAAGAAGGUCUUCGGAUUGUAAAGCACUUUAAGUUGGGAGGAAGGGCAGUUGCCUAAUACGUAACUGUUUUGACGUUACCGACAGAAUAAGCACCGGCUAACUCUGUGCCAGCAGCCGCGGUAAUACAGAGGGUGCAAGCGUUAAUCGGAAUUACUGGGCGUAAAGCGCGCGUAGGUGGUUUGUUAAGUUGGAUGUGAAAUCCCCGGGCUCAACCUGGGAACUGCAUUCAAAACUGACUGACUAGAGUAUGGUAGAGGGU
This 607-nucleotide ribosomal RNA is filed under the name uncultured bacterium. RNAcentral describes it as "bacterial SSU rRNA". It matches the Rfam family "Bacterial small subunit ribosomal RNA", at positions 56 to 659 of the family's 1533-position model. The record is from RNAcentral.